GAGGAGAGCAGGGUGGGCUGGGUGCUGGAGCGAGUAGGACGUUAACAGCCAAUAGUUUGCACCUGUCCGUCAACUCGCACCACCCACUCAGCGCCGCUCGGGCCAGCGCGGGCGGCCGCUUCGCUGGUACCGCGUUCCUCCGAGGGUCGGGCACCAUGUGGGGGGCGGGCAGCGGAGUGGGGAAGGGGGAAUAAAACCAACCCGAGAGGCCCCGGCCCCGGAGGGGAAUGCAGGAGGGGCGCCUGCACCCUGACCGCGCGCGGCCAGUAGGGGAGGAACCCUGAUCCCAGACCAAAAGCCCGACCUGCCAGGGAGGGGCCGCCAGGGUGUUAGAGAGAGUUCCGGGGUCCGAGACGGCCGGGUUGGGGGAGAGGUUCUGCCCCGGGCCGCUGGGUACCCUUCGGGCCAGCGCCCGUGUCCCGCGUCAUAGUUCGGGGCUGCUCCCUCUCCCGGGAGCGCCGCCCUUGCAGGCUGUGCAGCCUGUUCUAGGCCGUGGGAGAGCACUAAAGAAGACUUUCAAGCCACUCCUCGAAGAGCUUCUGAUCCGUGGGGGAGAUGAAAUCUGCCUUCCUUAUUUACAUGACCCUGGAUGUCUGCCAUUUUGAAGAAUUCCAGCUAAUGCCUGUCUUCCCAGGGAACUGUUCUCAAAAAAUAGUCCCAGAGGAGCCUAUUAAAAGAUGACAGCACACAUGGAGGAGAGUCCAGGUGUCCCAGCUGAGGCCAUUCAGACCAGCGUAGGAGUCAACUCCUAGACAUGUGAGAGAGCUCAGCCAAAAUCAGGAGAGCUGCCUACAACACCCACAGCUGAUGCACGAGUAAGGCCAGCCAAGAGUAGAAAAACUACCCAGCUGACCCAUAUACCUACGAGCAAUAAUAAAUGCUUACUGUUUUAAGCCACUGAGUUUUGGGUGGUUUGUAACGCAGCAGUGUGGGAAUUGAUACACCCUACCCAAUGUGUAGAACAUGCACUAUUCUACUCCCUACUUAAAGAACCUUUACAAUGAUGACACUUUAAUGAGGUUAAGACAUCAUGAUAUCUGUGAGGUGAUAACAUUUGCUUAAUAAAGAUCAUUUUAAAGAUUGCCAAGCAAUUUAUAUACACCAUUGCUAAUUCUUACAACAACCCAGAAAAUGUGGAUAUAAUUAUCAAUUCCACUUUACAGAUGAAGAAAUUGAGAGUAAUAUAGGUUGAAUAAUUCACUCAAUGUCACACACUAGGUGGUGGAGUUGACAUUGGAACCCAUGUCCUUUCAGUGCCGAAGACUUUAUCUUUCCUUUCUGCCAUACUGUGGGAACUGGAAGGACUAUACAUACUUUCCAGCCCAAAACUCUUAUUUUUGAGGUAAAGAAACCAAAGAAGUGCAAUAACUUGGCUAAAGUGAUUCACAAUAUAAAGUUUUCAAUCUCUAUAAUUCCAAAUACUCACCUCUGAUUGCAAAAAUGGAGACCCUGAGCAACAAGCCCAGAGUCGUUUUGACCUGGGUAGAGGAAUUUUCACUUUUAAAUAAGCAUAACAGGUGAUUCUGCUGCAAGUGGGCCAUGAAUUAUCUGAGAAAGGCUGAGUCAAGUGAGUCCUGGGGCCAGGACUCAGAUCCUGGUCUUCUGAUUCUCAGCGAGGUCAGCU
This is a long non-coding RNA of Equus caballus (horse), 1624 nucleotides long. The record is from Ensembl. NCBI's taxonomy places the organism in Eukaryota, Metazoa, Chordata, Mammalia, Perissodactyla, Equidae.